UUGGGCUUUUUUAUGAACCAAAACAGAUAGUGGUUCCAGCACUUCUCGUCAAUUUAGUUAAGAAUUAAGUUUAAGUUUAUUAUUCGAAAUUACGGUAGCCUCAAAGUUAACAUAUAACUGUUGUACAAGGUCAAGGAUAGUCAACUUUAAAUGAGAUUGCAUACAGUUUCUUGAGAUUUCACAUUUAGUUAAGAAUUCUUAUAAUAUUUGAUUAUUAGGUAUAUCAAGUUAAACGCCCUUUAUAAACCAUUGAAUUUAUUUAGAAACUCCAAACGGGGAAUGAAUAAAUCCAAAGGUUUAAAAUCCCAAAAAAUACAAAGUUCAGGUCUUCUGAAGGACCUCUACCAAAGAUUGAUUUUAUUCUACUAAACUUAAAGAAACAGACAUUCGUAUAUGAUCAAUGAUGUUAAUAUAGAAUAACGGUUAAACCUGUUGUCACACUUCUCAGCUCCUCGAGCAACCGCAUCAUCCACGCCAAGGAUCAUGCCUCCAUCCAGAUCAACAUCGUCGACGUGAACCCCCAGACUGGCCGCAUGCUGGAAACCUCCAAGGUGUACGCCAUCUGCGGUGAAAUUCGCCGUAUGGGUGAAUCCGACGAUUGCAUCGUCCGACUGGCCAAGAAGGAUGGUCUGCUUACCAAGAACUACUAAAAUUCUGGUAUGUGAUAAGAGGGGUGUAUCAUAAUAAAAUAAUACUUUCUUUAAAGUAA
Long non-coding RNA from Uranotaenia lowii, 709 nucleotides. RefSeq lists it as uncharacterized. NCBI's taxonomy places the organism in Eukaryota, Metazoa, Arthropoda, Insecta, Diptera, Culicidae. The transcript has 2 exons. The record is from RefSeq and is a predicted model, not a curated record.